RNAcentral lists this long non-coding RNA (906 nucleotides) under Heterocephalus glaber (naked mole-rat). RNAcentral's name for it is "lncRNA (ENSHGLG00100045876.1)". Lineage: Eukaryota; Metazoa; Chordata; Mammalia; Rodentia; Bathyergidae. The record is from RNAcentral.
AAAUAAACUAAUUACCUGAGACCAAAUUAAAUGAAUUUCUAAAAGCUAAACGAUGCCAACAUCAUUUUAUUCAUAUAUUUGUGCCAAGGAGAGAUGUUUCCAAGAUUAUGAAAGUUCAGGACUUGGGUAACAGCUCUUGAGUCAGUACUUUUUCCCUGGUAGAAAUGGCUUUGGUUUGGAGGCGACGAUCAUAACUGGAGGUCAAACUCUGGGAAGGCUUGCAGCUGCAGAUGGGCCGCAUACUCUGUGGUUGCCCUGAUCCACUGGGAUGUGUGAUAUGUAACUGUUAUCUCAAACACUGUAUUCACUGAUGUAAUGUUCAUGUGAGGAGCAGUCCCGUCACUGGAACUCUGGAUUCUCCAGCCCAUUUCAACAUGCCAGCUGGAUUUUGCCUGCCAUUUUUCAUCAUCGUGAGAUACCACGUGCUGGAGGCUGUGGAUCCAAGAUGAAGCUCAUGGCAGAUGUGGCUUCUCCUGAGGCCUCUCCUUGGCUUGCAGAUAUUACUCAUGCCAACAUACUACAGAGGGUAUCCUAGGGCCUCGGCAAGAUCUUGUGCAAGUUUAAAUGAAGCCCUGAAGCUUGAAGUUUAUUAGCCGUAUGGGGGAAGAGUAACAUUUCGGUAAAAGGUAAACAUAAAUCAGUUUAGGACAUCGAGGCAGCUGAGACAAACAGCUAAACACACUUAUAAAAGAGGACUUCCAGAGCUGCUUCAGAGAGUGGCAACAAUAAGGAAGAAUUGGAAAUCAGAGUGGAGUAUCGCUCAGUCUCCUUGGAAGCAGAAGUUCAAUUCCCAGGACCUAGCACUGGUGAUUGUCAUGUUGCUCACACACAGGCAAUGACAGUGACAUAGGGCAGCUCCCUAGCCACAAGCAAAGUCAGAGUGGGCAAGAUGUGAAAAAAUGUAGG